This 492-nucleotide ribosomal RNA is filed under the name uncultured bacterium. RNAcentral describes it as "partial 16S ribosomal RNA". It matches the Rfam family "Bacterial small subunit ribosomal RNA", at positions 29 to 507 of the family's 1533-position model. The record is from RNAcentral.
AGUGAACGCUGGCGGUAGGCCUAACACAUGCAAGUCGAACGGCAGCACAGUAAUAGCUUGCUCUUACGGGUGGCGAGUGGCGGACGGGUGAGGAAUACAUCGGAAUCUACUUUUUCGUGGGGGAUAACGUAGGGAAACUUACGCUAAUACCGCAUACGACCUACGGGUGAAAGCAGGGGAACUUCUGACCUUGCGCGAUUGAAUGAGCCGCUGUCGGAUUAGCUAGUUGGCGGGGUAAAGGCCCACCAAGGCGACGAUCCGUAGCUGGUCUGAGAGGAUGAUCGGCCGCACUGGAACUGGGACACGGUCCAGACUCCUACGGGAGGCAGCAGUGGGGUAUAUUGGACAAAGGGCGCAAGCCUGAUCCAGCCAUACCGCGUGGGUGAAGAAGGCCUUCGGGUUGCAAAGCCCUUUUGUUGGGAAAGAAAAGCAGCAGGUUAAUACCCCGCUGUUCUGACGGUACCCAAUGAAUAAGCACCGGCUAACUUCGUG